Podarcis lilfordi (Lilford's wall lizard) is the source of this 94-nucleotide non-coding RNA. NCBI's taxonomy places the organism in Eukaryota, Metazoa, Chordata, Lepidosauria, Squamata, Lacertidae. The record is from the annotation of a GenBank genome assembly.
GUUCCCUAAUCCAUCUUUAACAUUAGAGGAAUGUGGCAGCCAGUGUGUCUGGCUGUUAACCAGAAGGUUGGUGGUUCGAGCCCACCCGGGGACG